GACGAACGCUGGCGGCGUGCUUAACACAUGCAAGUCGAACGAAGAGCGAUGGAAGCUUGCUUCUAUCAAUCUUAGUGGCGAACGGGUGAGUAACGCGUAAUCAACCUGCCCUUCAGAGGGGGACAACAGUUGGAAACGACUGCUAAUACCGCAUACGAUCUAAACUCGGCAUCGAGGAUAGAUGAAAGGUGGCCUCUACAUGUAAGCUAUCACUGAAGGAGGGGAUUGCGUCUGAUUAGCUAGUUGGAGGGGUAACGGCCCACCAAGGCGAUGAUCAGUAGCCGGUCUGAGAGGAUGAACGGCCACAUUGGGACUGAGACACGGCCCAGACUCCUACGGGAGGCAGCAGUGGGGAAUCUUCCGCAAUGGACGAAAGUCUGACGGAGCAACGCCGCGUGAGUGAUGACGGCCUUCGGGUUGUAAAGCUCUGUUAAUCGGGACGAAAGGCCUUCUUGCGAAUAGUGAGAAGGAUUGACGGUACCGGAAUAGAAAGCCACGGCUAACUACGUG
This 510-nucleotide ribosomal RNA is filed under the name uncultured bacterium. RNAcentral describes it as "partial 16S ribosomal RNA". It matches the Rfam family "Bacterial small subunit ribosomal RNA", at positions 28 to 507 of the family's 1533-position model. The record is from RNAcentral.